UACGUAGGGACCAAGCGUUGUUCGGAUUUACUGGGCGUAAAGGGCGCGUAGGCGGCAUGACAAGUCACUUGUGAAAUCUCCGGGCUUAACUCGGAACGGUCAAGUGAUACUGUCGCGCUAGAGUGCGGAAGGGGCAAUCAGAAUUCUUGGUGUAGCGGUGAAAUGCGUAGAUAUCGGGAGGAACACCAGUGGCGAAGGCGACUACCUGGCCCAUUCUUGACGCUGAGGCGCGAAAGCUAGGGGAGCGAACGGG
Molecule: ribosomal RNA, 253 nt
Filed under: uncultured bacterium
Lineage: Bacteria
Description: partial 16S ribosomal RNA
Rfam family: Bacterial small subunit ribosomal RNA
Source: RNAcentral